GAUGAACGCUAGCUACAGGCUUAACACAUGCAAGUCGCGGGGUAACAUCUGGUAGAGCUUGCUCUUCCAGGAUGACGACCGGCGCACGGGUGAGUAACGCGUAUCCAACCUGGCCCAUACCACGGGAUAGCCCGUCGAAAGGCGGAUUAAUACCGUAUGCUGUCAUUAAGAUGCAUAUAUUGAUGACGAAAGGACUGGCGGUAUGGGAUGGGGAUGCGUCUGAUUAGCUUGUUGGCGGGGUAACGGCCCACCAAGGCGACGAUCAGUAGGGGUUCUGAGAGGAAGGUCCCCCACAUUGGAACUGAGACACGGUCCAAACUCCUACGGGAGGCAGCAGUGAGGAAUAUUGGUCAAUGGGCGCAAGCCUGAACCAGCCAAGUAGCGUGAGGGAAGACUGCCCUACGGGUUGUAAACCUCUUUUGUUUGGGAAUAAAGUGCGGGACGUGUCCCGCAUUGCAUGUACCAUUUGAAUAAGGACCGGCUAAUUCCGUGCCAGCAGCCG
RNAcentral lists this ribosomal RNA (502 nucleotides) under uncultured bacterium. Its description in RNAcentral is "bacterial SSU rRNA". It matches the Rfam family "Bacterial small subunit ribosomal RNA", at positions 28 to 517 of the family's 1533-position model. The record is from RNAcentral.